UUGCCGCCUUGGCACAGAGACUGGACAGAGUUGCCAUCUAUGAGGAAUUCCUGUGGCUGACCCAGAAUGGUACCCAGCUGCAGAACUUGACCCUGGACAGGAAGAGUGUCCUUGGGGAUGAAUAUUCUCCCAACAGAGAUGACACCUUGACUGAGAAGCCUGGUAAACCUGCAGGAAGCCCCAGCCCACGGUAGGGGGCGAGUAUCUUGAUGCUGUGCCUCAUCGAAGAGAACCAUGCGCACAGGGUCUUGGAUGAUGAGGAAAGUUGGCCAACCCUUGUCAAGGAUGGUUGAGGCACAGUGGGGUCAGCAGGAGCCCUGGGGCAAUGACAGGAGGUGGCUCAUCCCAGCACUUGUCUCCGCAGACCACCCCGUCUGGGCUCUCAUCCUCAUCUGCUUGGCGGGAAUCCUGGUGCUCAUCACAGGCCUCAUCUGCUGUCUCCUGGAAAACAUUUUAACCCUGCUGUUCCCAUGAUGUCACAAGGACUAGAGUGUUGGGGAGGACUGAGAGCACACUCUUCCUCUGGAGUAUGUUAGACUCUAAGGGUCCAUGACACAGGAGUGGGGAACAUUUCAUUCAUCGAGGAUUGAGCCUCUCGUGCUGGGUGUUGAAAGAAACACCAGUGACGUCCCCGUGUAUUCACGUGGAGUAUCUGACAGUCAGUCAUUGCAGGAUUACAGAAGGAAGGGCAGUUCAGAGGGGAGGCCCCGUGGAGGCAGGCAUGGAGGAGCGCGUGGUGACUGACACCGAGAGCUUGUGACCCGGACAGGUGGCAGACUCUGUUCGGUCAGAAGACUCUGCCGACUGCAGUGCAUAGAAAUCCACGUCCGUCCACGGGAAGUCGCAGGACGAGAACACCGCUGACAGGAAGUCACCUGUCAGAGCGUGCGGCACGAGUGGUGAGAAUGUUGAGUCUGAACCAAGGUCGUGGUGUCACAGUGGUGGAAAGGCCACUGGAGGUGAAAGAAGCAGACCUAGAGUCAUUUCCAAGAACAAACUGGAAGGUUUAUGGGACCAAUUAGGCAGAGAUCCUGAGGAGGAGAGGUGAAGAUGUGCAGUGGUUUCCGGCCAGGAAGAAGAGUGUUCCAUGGACGGUGAGGACAGAUGCGUGCUGGGCUUCUCUGAGGGCUGGGAAGACGCACGGGGAGCUUGAUUUUAGACAUGACACAAGUUCAGUGAUGGUGC
This is a long non-coding RNA of Diceros bicornis minor, 1185 nucleotides long. RefSeq lists it as uncharacterized. Lineage: Eukaryota; Metazoa; Chordata; Mammalia; Perissodactyla; Rhinocerotidae. The transcript has 3 exons. The record is from RefSeq and is a predicted model, not a curated record.